Molecule: ribosomal RNA, 497 nt
Filed under: uncultured bacterium
Lineage: Bacteria
Description: partial 16S ribosomal RNA
Rfam family: Bacterial small subunit ribosomal RNA
Source: RNAcentral
GAUGAACGCUGGCGGCGUGCUUAAUACAUGCAAGUCGAGCGAACAGACGAGGAGCUUGCUCCGCUGUCGUUAGCGGCGGACGGGUGAGUAACACGUGGAUAACCUACUUCUAUGCCUGGGAUAACUGCGGGACACCGGCUCUAAUACCGGAUGAUAUAUUGAUCCGCAUGGUUCAAUAGUGAAUGACGGUUUUGCUUGAGCUUAUAGAUUGUUCCGUGCUGGAUUAGGUAAUUGGUAAGGUAACGGGUUACCGAGGCGACGAUGGGUAGCCGACCGGAGAGAGUGAUCGCCGGCCUGGGAGCUGGUACGGGGUCAAUAGUACUACGAGACGCACCAGAAGGGAAUGUGACGCAAUGGGCGAGAGCCUGACGGAACGACGGCAAGUGAGUGAUGAAGGUGUCGGGUUCGUAAUACUGGGUUACUAGGGAAGAACAAAUGUCGAAGGAGACAUAGCCGACGUGACGGUACCUGAACAGAAAGCCCCGGCUAACUACGUG